CACUGUGUGCGGUGAAAGAGAAACGGGUCAAGGAUGGGGAACUUCACACUCUGCUGUCACUCCCAUAAACGAUGAUGAUGAAAGCACUACCAGCUUUAUACACAAUGUCUCAUUUAACCCUCAGCAAAUCUGGAUGAAUUAUCACUCACCCUCUGUACAGAGGAUGGAACUCUGAGCAACAACAGCUCAGAGAGGUGAAGCGACUUGUCUGAAGUCACACAGCUGGGGUGGGAUUCCAGUGCACACAGUAGCCAUGAUCUUAACCAAUAAACCCUACUUGCUGGAAUGACUCACUUCUGUCUCGACUCCCUUCUGUGUUCAAGGAAUGGAAUCAAACGGGAUAAUCUCCAGCUAGGCUAGAAAUGCUAGGCUCCUAUGGUCCCCUCGUGGGCCAGCUUUGCUGCGUAAUAGGGGCACAGAAGGAGCCGCCUCCUCCCGGAACACACAUCUGACAGCCAGCCACACCCUCGGUGAGAGAUGGGCCUGCACGGCAAGUACAUGGCUGGGACAGCCAGACCCAGCGCGCAAAAGGAGAAAGCAUGACGUGCCUGCUAUGGUGACGGUGUCCUGGCAGGGGACCGGCACGCAGGCGGUAGGAGACGUCAGUAUAGGUUUCUGGAUGGUGACCACUGGUCCCACCAUCUGUGGUGCUGACAACUGCCUGGUAGUCCGAGCACCACUCGGCUUGGAAGGCUCUGAGAUGACGUUUAUUCCUGUUUCCAGAAUGGCUCCAAAUGAGAAAAGGCGACCCACAGACCAGAGUCAGGGGUCAGCCAGGCCAGAUGCCUGAGGCCCUCACGUGGGGAGAAGGCUCCAGAGCCAAAUUUAGCUCUGAACGAUUGUUGCUACUUGAUAAACAGUCUGGGCUCCCUUAGGCCUUGGGCAAGAGGGGUUCAGGCCGCGCUGUCCCAUCGCCCGUAUGUAGAACCUUGAAAAUCAUUAUAGCAGUUUCAUUUCCCUACUGGGGCACAUCUCGUUCCCUAAAACAGAAAACGAAAGUGAUUUAAAAGCAAACAUCUCAAGACUGGCGAAUUCGAAAUGCUUCUGAAAAUUCUGGCUGGUGACAAGCCGUCCCAUCAGCUCAUGCAGCCCCUCUGUCAGCGCAGCCGGGGACUCCAGAUCGGCCCGCCAGCCCCCCCUGCUCCUCCCGCACCCCCAGGGCUGGCCGGGAAGCUCUGGGUUGCUGGUGAUCUAGGGUCGAAAACAAUGCGGAGAAUCUCCGGCCACGGCUGUGGAAUGGACAGGAUUCUAUUUAUAAGCAGAGAGGGGCUGAACAAUGGAGCAACUGCCGCCUUGGUGGGUCUGUAGCCUGACCUCCUGUGAGACUCUGGAAAGCCUCAAAGCCAGACCCCGGAAGAGAUGGCACAGGAAGGAGGCGAUUAGACCGCUCAAGGUCAUGAAGCAGCUGCUUCCUCUAUGGUCCGACCACCUUCAUCAGAGAACAGCUAGUAAGCCCCCAUCUGCCGCUGGUGCACACCAACAUGAGCUGAACAGAUACAGCCUCUGCCCCGCCUCCCUCCCGGGGAUGCUGUUUAGAUGGUGACCACGUACCAGGCUGGAGGCAGCAGAACGGGGGCAGGGAACCACACGAUGGGCAGAAUGUCUAUCAUGGUUCACGUCCAAGGCUUGCACGGGGCAGGCUGGACAGGUGCAGGCCAGUGUCCCUGGCACAAGCAGGCUGGUAUUUCUUCUGAAAUGAUGACUCUGUUGGGGGAGAAAAUUUGUGAGAGACAACGGUGGAUGGCCCAGGGCUAGCAGAGGGCGGGGGCCUGUGCUGCCAGGCUGGGCAGGGGGCCCUGCCCAGGUUCCCUCUGACUCUAUCAACACCUGGUUUAAGACUCAGCAAAUGGCUUACUUGCUGGGCUUCAUGCUGUCCUCUGGAAGACGUGGGUCACAGUAGCUAGCUUGUAGAUUAAACGUGAAACUGUCUGUGAAGUGCUUAGGACAGAUAGUACCUGGCACACUGUAAUUCUCCAGGGAAUUAUCGCUACUAUUAUAACUGCAUACGAGAGAGGAAUGUGUGUUAGAAACACAAGCCACAGGAAGUAAGUUACGCUCCUGUCCAGUGACACCAGCAGUGAAGCAGCUGCCAGCACGAGCCCCGGGGAAUCCGGGUGCAGCAGAGAAGUUCCAUGGUCAGAAAGACUGGGCAAUGGCCGACUACUUCAUCUUCCUGGUUUACAAAGCAGAUUUGCAUAUUAAAGGCUCAAAAGAGGCCUUCAAUAUGAAAAUGUUACAUUUUGCUCUGUUCAUUCUUCUCUGCAACUUAGCGGACCACAGAGCCCUUUGUUUUGGCUGAACACGAACCUCUCCCAGGAAUCAUUUCAAACACAGAGAUUUGGGGUCCAAAACAGUCCCCGGUGUAACGGCUUGUUUCCCACACACGAGCGAGGCAAGAGGAGACCCACCAGGGAGAACGAGGGGAGGUGGGAGAGAGGGAGUCCUCUGCCCCUGCUUUCCACGCGGCGGGCAGCACGGAAAAGGAACAGGAGCGUAGGAAUCCGCAGGCGCUCAGAGGUGUUCUCGAGACGGUGAGUGGGGCCCUUGGGAUGACAAGGCCGGAGGGAAGGCAGAGACUGAGAUCCAAGCUCGGGAGGGUGUGGGGGCACAGGUCCUCCCCCCCUACCACCCUGUCACAGCCGGCUCCGCGGAGGCAUCGGGGAGGACCCGCGCCAGGAGGCAGGGUGAGGGCAAGGCAGGUACUCCCACCCUCCCUGCCGGACAGAGGCGGUGUUCGGGAGCUGACAGCCCACCUGCGCUGCAAUAUAGAUCUGUAUCUAUGGAUACACACAGAGCAGAUGGCCCAACGAGCAGCCGAAAUGGAAAAUGCGUGUCUCUUGUUGACAAUUCGGAGAGACCCCUUACCUUGGAUUAAUGGAAAAAAAACCAAAAACAAAACAAAACACGUCCUUGGGAGUGAGAUUCUCUUUCAGAUGCUCCCCUGGAGGGGAAAAUAUUUCUGGUUAUUGCACUUAAAAGGUUUCUCAGAAUGUGGCCCACAGACCCCCUGUGAAGGGCCCAAGUCCGCUCUCUGAUCAGAACCCCAAAUGAAAGUCAAGCACAGCUGUGUUAGCUUCGUGAGGUGGGGGGCGAGCCGUCACCCCGUGGGGCCCUGUGUUGGGAUGACAAGGGGCUCGACUGCCAUGUGGAAGGUACGCCCCACUCCAAACCCGGAGAGCUGAAUUGGGAAUCCGAACUCUCUACCCUGGAGGUGGGGCAGGGUCCUGUGGCCUUCCCAUCUCCAUCGCCACCAAGAGAAAGGCCCUCAAGGACUCCAGGAGGCGAUGGACCUUGCCUACUUCUGGUGACAGAGCCCAUGAGGGUUAGAUCAGGUCAGCCUAGAGGUCCAUACUCUUCCUGCAGCGCUGAAGACCUGAUCUAGAAACUUCUCUGGAGGUUGCCAGAGUGGAGAGCAAAGCUGAGGGCAAGCACCAGGUGCUCAUGCCAACAGACAGGAGGACACCGAGGGGACCUCCGCCUCAGGUCUCGGGGGCUUCCCAGCCACAUCAACAUGCAAGGGACUUGCACGCACACCUAUUUUGUCGUCCGGGUUCUUCUGUCCCUGAGAAACCCGUUUUCUGGCCUCUUAUCGUGUUGCCAUCUGAAGCACCAAUUACGAACACAGGACAUCUGUGUGUGGAAAAGCCAAACAAAACACAACCUCACUCAUUAAACUGUCUUCCCCUUUUCCUUCCUGCCUCUCCCGCGCCACACCAGCAGAAAGAGAAACCAGGCCAGUGAGCUGCCCACCUACUGGCGCAGCUGAGCGCGCGGGCCUCCUCCCGGGCCCCUCGUGGGGACCCGGGCCCACGUGCCAGCCCCGCUUCAGGAAGGGCUCAUGCCUGGGAGCUCGGCUUUCAGGGGAUGCUAGGAGACGACCCCGGCCACCUACCAGUGUAACGGAGCCCCGGAAAGGGAGGCAGAGGGGCUGGGGCACCGGCAAUGCAUUUCCGGGGGCUGCUGCCUGCCAGCGAGCGGCAGGGGCGUGGUCAGGUCCGGCACAGCUGACAACGGAGAUGUCACAUGCCACCUCUACACUGGCUUAACGCAGAGAAUUCGGGGUCAAGGGUUUAGGCCGAACCAGCUUCUAUUUAUAAUAAAGAGCAUCGAGGAGGGGGCAAACGGGACAGCAGGGGACUGGCUCGGUCUGGGUGCCCGUCGGCACGACGCUACGCUGAGGCAGAAGUCUGUGCUCAGCGACUCGCCCCCGUGAGCGCGGGGCCUCCACUGGGAGCUCUUCCCAGGCAGCUGAGUGCUGCUGGCUCUAGAUGGCCCCUGUGUGGGAGCUAAAGAGAGCGCAGGAGGGGGGAACAAGCCCCAUGUCUGGCUGUGUGGGUGUCGUGGGGACUGUCCCCUGCCCCACAGCUGAGGAA
Mustela erminea (ermine) is the source of this 4373-nucleotide long non-coding RNA. RefSeq lists it as uncharacterized. The record is from RefSeq and is a predicted model, not a curated record. The transcript has 2 exons. Lineage: Eukaryota; Metazoa; Chordata; Mammalia; Carnivora; Mustelidae.